AAAGGCUGUGUUUGUUCUAUAAGUUCUGGUGUUCCUUUCUCUAUUCGCUUGUGAAUACAGAGUGCCAUGUAACUAAUUAAUCAUGCUCAUUAUCUACUGCAUUUCUAAUAUAUGAAGCAUGCUCUACUGAGAUAUGAUAUAUGUAUAUGAAGAGAGUGAACUAAGAUAGCAUGAAAUACCUUGAAUGGUUUUGUUGGUUGGUUAUUGUUUGAAUGAACUGAUACUUGAAAAUGCUUUGGCAGAGAAUGAUGAAGAGCAAUGCAGUCUUUCCUCUUUUUGCUAGGAACGUUUGUGGAAUGGGAAUGAGAAGAUUAUGCUUGGUGAUUUCUCGAUGGAAGGAGUAGAUUUGUUGCUGUGAUGAAGAGGGUGAAUGAGGAUGGCUUUAUACUGAACUUAUGGAGAG
This 403-nucleotide long non-coding RNA is filed under the name Salvia miltiorrhiza (redroot sage). Its description in RNAcentral is "long non-coding RNA (SMIL_LNC001224)". Lineage: Eukaryota; Viridiplantae; Streptophyta; Magnoliopsida; Lamiales; Lamiaceae. The record is from RNAcentral.